AACGCACAUUGCGCCCCUUGGUAUUCCAUGGGGCAUGCCUGUUCGAGCGUCAUUUGUACCUUCAAGCACUGCUUGGUGUUGGGUGUUUGUCCCCGUUUCUACACGUGGACUCGCCUUAAAGUGAUUGGCAGCCGGCGUACUCGCCUCGGAGCGCAGCACAUUUUGCGCUCCUUGACCUGAACGGUGGCGUCCACUAAGCCUAUACUUUUGCUCUUGACCUCGGAUCAGGUAGGGAUACCCGCUGAACUUAA
Molecule: unclassified non-coding RNA, 251 nt
Filed under: uncultured fungus
Lineage: Eukaryota; Fungi
Description: partial contains 5.8S ribosomal RNA, internal transcribed spacer 2, and large subunit ribosomal RNA
Source: RNAcentral